Molecule: long non-coding RNA, 1974 nt
Organism: Poecilia reticulata (guppy)
Lineage: Eukaryota; Metazoa; Chordata; Actinopteri; Cyprinodontiformes; Poeciliidae
Source: RefSeq, a predicted model, not a curated record
UCUUUCUUUUUAUUUCCUUCUUUCUUUCUUUUUUACAUUCCUUAUCUUUCUUUUUGUCUUUCUUUCAAAAUAGUUAUUUAUCGAGCUUUAUUGCGACUUUAGAUUAAAAAAAAAAUCUUUUUUUCUUCUAAUUUAUCUUUUGAAUUUUGAUAAUGAAAUCCUAAAUGAUCAUUACUGUAGCAAGUCUCCUGCAGAACUUCCGCACUGUACGGGCAAGCAUUUAAAGAAACCAACCGAAUUGAAUAUGAUCCAAUAAGUAGACUUUACCUCUAAAUGUGACAUUAAUUUUCUUGUUAAUAUGUAAAUGUUCUUUUCAUCCCUCUAUCUUAUAUUUUUCUUUUAUUUUUGUUAAAAUUGUUCCUACGCUGGAUCUUUUAAAACUCUUUCUGUACUUAACAUAAAAUAAGCAUAUUUGGUCUAACAAUAAGCUAAAAAUAAAAAUGACCAAUUGCAAGAUUAAAACUCCUAUCAUAAAAAUAAACGACAAAGAGGGUAAAUUUGAUUCAAUUCGAAAUCAACUCAAAUUUGAGAUACGUAUUGAAAAAUGUGCUUCAGUGCCAAAAUUGCACAUAUUUUAAACUAAAAGGCGCAGUAAAAUCAAAUUACUUCCAAAUGACUUCAGUUUUGUUCGUCACGUAUGUUUCUUAUGGGAGAUUUGAAAGAAGAAGCAGUUGAAUGGAGACAGUUUAUGACGCACAAUGUUGUGGAUUCAGCGAUCAAACUCCCUGCAGCCUUGGUCAGUCCUCUGAACUUUACCACUAUGUGUAAACAAGUUGUCAGAAAAUAAUCUUCUCUUUCGCCCCCCUUUUUUUCCCCUCUUUUUUUUUUUAUUGGAAUGAAAAUUCAAUCUUCCAAGAUCAGAUUAGAGUAUACUUUUUGGUUUUUUUUUUUCUACUUCUUCUUCUCCUCUCUCCCGGUUCCUUGUCAUCGCUGGGGCUGGACUUUGGUGGACAAUAAUGCGGCAAUUGUCGAUGCUUUGUGACCCAUAAAAUUUGAGGGUGGCUAUUCUGGCUUUGCGAGGGGAGGCACCGUGCAAGCAAAAGCCCCUGCAACUCUGAGCAGAUCGGCGGAAAAAAGCAGCUACAAUCAAAAAGAAACGUGCCUGUAAGAACAGGUGCCAUUACGCAGGUAAUUUUGUUAUGAUGUAUGAUGGAGUGUAUUUAAAUCUACCCGCUGUUUGCCCAGAUCAUGCAUUGAGACAUAUUUGCAGAAUAAUUUUAGAUGUUGUCCCUUCAAUAAACAAUAUUUUGUGUAAGGCUUCAGAGUUUGUUUGUUUUUUUUAAUGUAAGAAGAAUUUUGAUUUGCCAAAUUUAUUUAUUUAUGUAUUUUUUAAGGUAAAAGAGGCUGUUUCAGCAAAUUCGAAAGAAAAUAAAUGAAUUGACCUCUUUCGGAUUUUCGUGUAAUCAGACAAUUUGUAAAAGUAUGAACACGUAUUUCACUAAAACGUUGUUUUAUUUCGUAAACAUGCAAAAAAAAUUAAAUAAAUAAAUAAUGAAUAAAUCUGCAUAUGUGUCCUAUUUGCUGUUGUUUUUCGUGAUGAUUAAUAAAAUGCAAUACAUGUCUUGCUUUUGAGGUGUACAAUACAUUGGAUUUUUAUUUUUCUUUACCUUUCUGUGUGCGCGCGCGCGCGUGUGUGUGUGUGUGUGUGUGUGUGUGUGUGUGUGUGUGUGUAUGUGUAUGCGUGUAUGCACAUAAUAAACACUUGUGCUGCCUGACAGAGGUGCGAAUCUGAGAGCUUUUCCACCAAAUGAAGUGCCAGCAGAAAGAGAAAUAAAGAGAUCUGCAGCUGUCAGGGGUCAGGCAGGGAGAGAUUGCUUCUAGAGAUCUUUUGAAAAAAAUCACACGUUUGAAGGCUUAGAGCUUUGCUGUCUCCGCAUUUCAAGCUCAGAUCAGUGGAAUCAGGGGAGAGAGAGAAAAAAAAAAAGGAAGAACAUGGGUUGGAGAAUUCUGAUGCUGGGAUGGACACGGGAAGAG